AGCGAACGCUGGCGGCAGGCCUAACACAUGCAAGUCGAACGAACCUUUCGGGGUUAGUGGCGGACGGGUGUGUAACACGUGGGAACGUGCCUUUAGGUUCGGAAUAACUCAGGGAAACUUGUGCUAAUACCGAAUGUGCCCUUCGGGGGAAAGAUUUAUCGCCUUUAGAGCGGCCCGCGUCUGAUUAGCUAGUUGGUUGAGGUAAUGGCGCACCAAGGCGACGAUCAGUAGCUGGUCUGAGAGGAUGAUCAGCCACAUUUGGACUGAGACACGGCCCAAACUCCUACGGGAGGCAGCAGUGGGGAAUCUUGCGCAAUGGGCGAAAGCCUGACGCAGCCAUGCCGCGUGAAUGAUGAAGUUCUUAGGAUUGUAAAAUUCUUUCACCGGGGACGAUAAUGACGGUACCCGGAGAAGAAGCCCCGGCUAACUUCGUG
This 434-nucleotide ribosomal RNA is filed under the name uncultured bacterium. RNAcentral describes it as "partial 16S ribosomal RNA". It matches the Rfam family "Bacterial small subunit ribosomal RNA", at positions 29 to 507 of the family's 1533-position model. The record is from RNAcentral.